UACGAAGGGGGCUAGCGUUGUUCGGAUUUACUGGGCGUAAAGGGUGCGUAGGCGGGUCUUUAAGUCAGGGGGGAAAUCCUGGAGCUCAACUCCAGAACUGCCUUUGAUACUGAGGAUCUUGAGUUCGGGAGAGGUGAGUGGAACUGCGAGUGUAGAGGUGAAAUUCGUAGAUAUUCGCAAGAACACCAGUGGCGAAGGCGGCUCACUGGCCCGAUACUGACGCUGAGGCACGAAAGCGUGGGGAGCAAACAGG
Molecule: ribosomal RNA, 253 nt
Filed under: uncultured bacterium
Lineage: Bacteria
Description: partial 16S ribosomal RNA
Rfam family: Bacterial small subunit ribosomal RNA
Source: RNAcentral